UACGUAUGGGGCGAGCGUUGUCCGGAAUUAUUGGGCGUAAAGGGUACGUAGGCGGUUUCAUAAGUCAGAUGUGAAAGCUUGGGGCUCAACCCCAUAAAGCAUUUGAAACUGUGGAACUUGAGUAGUGGAGAGGAAAGUGGAAUUCCUAGUGUAGCGGUGAAAUGCGUAGAUAUUAGGAGGAAUACCAGUGGCGAAGGCGACCUUCUGGUCUAUUAUUGACGCUGAGGCUCGAAAGCAUGGGUAGCAGACAGGAUUAGAUACCCGUGUAGUCCCU
Molecule: ribosomal RNA, 274 nt
Filed under: uncultured prokaryote
Description: partial 16S ribosomal RNA
Rfam family: Bacterial small subunit ribosomal RNA
Source: RNAcentral